GACGAACCGUGCAAACGUUAUUCGGAAUCACUGGGCUUAAAGGGCGCGUAGGCGGGUAACCAAGUCCGGGGUGAAAUCCUCCAGCUUAACUGGAGAAGUGCCUCGGAUACUGGUCGUCUCGAGGAGGGUAGGGGCAUCUGGAACUAGCGGUGGAGCGGUGAAAUGCGUUGAUAUCGCUAGGAACUCCGAUGGCGAAGGCAAGGUGCUGGACCCUUUCUGACGCUGAGGCGCGAAAGCCAGGGGAGCGAACGGGAUUAGAUACCCCGGUAGUCCUGGCCCUAAACGAUGAGAACUAGAUAGCGGGAUUGAUAUGGUCUCGCUGUCGGAGCAAAAGUGCUAAGUUCUCCGCCUGGGGAGUAUGGUCGCAAGGCUGAA
RNAcentral lists this ribosomal RNA (375 nucleotides) under uncultured bacterium. RNAcentral's name for it is "bacterial SSU rRNA". It matches the Rfam family "Bacterial small subunit ribosomal RNA", at positions 524 to 898 of the family's 1533-position model. The record is from RNAcentral.